Verticillium dahliae VdLs.17 is the source of this 97-nucleotide transfer RNA. It matches the Rfam family "tRNA". From Rfam's summary of the family: Transfer RNA (tRNA) molecules are approximately 80 nucleotides in length. The record is from Rfam. NCBI's taxonomy places the organism in Eukaryota, Fungi, Ascomycota, Sordariomycetes, Glomerellales, Plectosphaerellaceae.
UUCCGAUUAGUCUAGUGGUUAGGAUAUCGGCUUGUCAUCCAAGGACCUCGAGUUCUGACAUCCGCCGGGGACCGGGGUUCAAUUCCCCGAUCGGAAG